AUAGGCAGAGUCAAAAUCAGAGGUGUUUAUGGUACAGAAGGUAAAUCCUGACUUCAGGGUCGCUCUUAAAGAAAAUUAGGUCUUACGCUGCUCUUAACGGAAAAUCACCCCAUGAAACUCUGCCCUUUACGGCCUCUGAGACCCACAGUACCUUCUCAAAGUGGGGGGAUGGAGGAGAUUGCAGGGCUUCUGGUUGGGCAGUCAUUGUGACUUCUCCAUUAACUCUAUAAUGAGUUGGUUCUAAAUUCUGCCACUAGGAAGCCCAGUAGCACCGUCAGCCUCUGUAUCAGCGUUGCCAUGAGCACCCCCUUCGAGAAAUCUGAACUUGCCAAGCAUUGAUUUUUUCUUUUUAACUGUAGAGAGCCGACGCAGGAAGACGAGAUUCCCAAGGUGCCUCUCUGUGACCUGUCAUCCCAGCCUCAGUCUGCAGAACCUUCCAGCAACAGAGACAUCUUCCUCAGCUCUGCACUCAGCGAGGGGAGCGACCGGGGAGCCACCACCCCAGCCCAGGCACCCAAGAUUUACGAAGGGCCCUGCCUUCCAUUAGGCAGCGGGAAGGGGCUGGGCGUCUCUGCUCAGCUUUAGAAGUCCAUUUGUUUCCAUUCCUUGUCAGCAGUUUGCAUAAGUGAGUGGUUUUAUUUCUUGGGAGCGAGGAGGAAAAAACGCACGAGUUACCCCAGCAGUGGGAGAUUUGUCAAAUAAAGCUUUUAA
RNAcentral lists this long non-coding RNA (711 nucleotides) under Vulpes vulpes (red fox). RNAcentral describes it as "lncRNA (ENSVVUG00000017339.1)". Lineage: Eukaryota; Metazoa; Chordata; Mammalia; Carnivora; Canidae. The record is from RNAcentral.